RNAcentral lists this small RNA (679 nucleotides) under Pongo abelii (Sumatran orangutan). RNAcentral describes it as "retained intron". The record is from RNAcentral. Lineage: Eukaryota; Metazoa; Chordata; Mammalia; Primates; Hominidae.
UUCCCUGGUCCAGUCCACCCUGGCGGGGUCGCAGGGUCGGGAUGGCGGCUGGAGGCGAUCAUGGUUCGCCCGACAGCUAUCGCUCACCUCUUGCCUCCCGCUAUGCCAGCCCAGAGAUGUGCUUCGUGUUUAGCGACAGGUAUAAAUUCCGGACAUGGCGGCAGCUGUGGCUGUGGCUGGCGGAGGCCGAGCAGACAUUGGGUUUGCCUAUCACAGAUGAACAAAUCCAGGAGAUGAAAUCAAACCUGGACAACAUCGACUUCAAGAUGGCAGCUGAGGAAGAGAAACAUUUACGACAUGAUGUGAUGGCUCACGUGCACACAUUUGGCCACUGCUGUCCAAAAGCUGCAGGCAUUAUUCACCUUGGUGCCACUUCUUGCUAUGUUGGAGACAAUACUGUAGGCACCUGUGUUGUUUAUACUUAAAACUCAGUCUCUAGAAUCUAUUUGUCAAUUUUAUUUGAUGUUUUCCAGUUGAGAGAGUGACAUUAUAGAUUUUUUUUGGAGACAGAGUCUCCCUCUAUCUCCCAGGCUGGAGUGCAGUGGCAUGACUCACUGCAAGCUCCACCUCCUGGGUUCACGCCAUUCUCCUGCCUCAGCCUCCUGAGUAGCUGGGACUACAGGCACCGGUCACCACACCCGGCUAAUUUUUUUGUAUUUUUUUAGUAGAGACGGGGUUU